This 1506-nucleotide ribosomal RNA is filed under the name metagenome. RNAcentral describes it as "bacterial LSU rRNA". It matches the Rfam family "Bacterial large subunit ribosomal RNA", at positions 1276 to 2910 of the family's 2925-position model. The record is from RNAcentral.
UAGUGAUCAGAAGUGAGAAUGUUGACAUGAGUAGCGACAAACAGGGUGAGAGACCCUGUCGCCGAAAGUCCAAGGGUUCCUACUUAAAGCUAAUCUGAGCAGGGUAAGCCGGCCCCUAAGGCGAGGCCGAAAGGCGUAGUCGAUGGGAACCAGGUUAAUAUUCCUGGGCCAGGAGAUGGUGACGGAUCCCAGAGGUAGUUCAUCCUUAUUGGAUUGAAUGGGCUGCUGAGGGGUUCCUGGAAAUAGCCCUCCAUGAGACCGUACCCUAAACCGACACAGGUGGACUGGUAGAGAAUACCAAGGCGCUUGAGAGAACCACAUUUAAGGAACUCGGCAAAAUACCUCCGUAAGUUCGCGAGAAGGAGGCCCCGUUCGUAGGCAACUAUGGGCGGGGGGCACAAACCAGGGGGUGGCGACUGUUUACUAAAAACACAGGGCUCUGCGAAGUCGCAAGACGACGUAUAGGGUCUGACGCCUGCCCGGUGCCGGAAGGUUAAAAGGAGAUGUGCAAGCAUUGAAUUGAAGCCCCGGUAAACGGCGGCCGUAACAAUAACGGUCCUAAGGUAGCGAAAUUCCUUGUCGGGUAAGUUCCGACCUGCACGAAUGGCGUAACGACUUCCCCGCUGUCUCAAAUGUGGACUCAGCGAAAUUGAAUUGUCUGUGAAGAUGCAGACUUCCCGCGGUUAGACGGAAAGACCCCAUGCACCUUUACUAUAGCUUCGCACUGGCAUCAGGAUUGUGAUGUGCAGGAUAGGCGGUAGGCUUUGAAAUCGGGACGCCAGUUCCGAUGGAGCCAUCCUUGAGAUACCGCCCUUCGCACUCUUGAUGUCUAACCGCGGUCCGUUAUCCGGAUCCGGGACCCUGCGUGGUGGGUAGUUUGACUGGGGCGGUCGCCUCCUAAAGAGUAACGGAGGCGCGCGAAGGUUGGCUCAGAGCGGUCGGAAAUCGCUCGUUGAGUGCAAUGGCAGAAGCCAGCCUGACUGCAAGACUGACAAGUCGAGUAGAGUCGAAAGACGGCCAUAGUGAUCCGGUGGUCCCGAGUGGAAGGGCCAUCGCUCAACGGAUAAAAGGUACGCUGGGGAUAACAGGCUGAUGAUGCCCAAGAGUCCAUAUCGACGGCAUCGUUUGGCACCUCGAUGUCGGCUCAUCUCAUCCUGGGGCUGGAGCAGGUCCCAAGGGUACGGCUGUUCGCCGUUUAAAGAGGUACGUGAGCUGGGUUUAGAACGUCGUGAGACAGUUCGGUCCCUAUCUGCCGUGGGUGUAGGAUACUUGAGAGGAGUUGCCCCUAGUACGAGAGGACCGGGGUGAACGUUCCACUGGUGGACCAGUUGUCGUGCCAACGGCAGUGCUGGGUAGCUAUGAACGGACAGGAUAAACGCUGAAGGCAUCUAAGCGUGAAGCCCCCCUCAAAACCAGGUAUCCCUUGAGAGCCGUGGAAGACCACCACGUCGAUAGGCCGGAGAUGUAAGCGCAGCAAUGCGUUCAGUUGACCGGUACUAAUGGCUU